This 253-nucleotide ribosomal RNA is filed under the name uncultured bacterium. Its description in RNAcentral is "partial 16S ribosomal RNA". It matches the Rfam family "Bacterial small subunit ribosomal RNA", at positions 524 to 776 of the family's 1533-position model. The record is from RNAcentral.
GACGUAGGUGGCAAGCGUUGUCCGGAGUUAUUGGGCGUAAAGCGCGCGCAGGCGGUUCGGUAAGUCCAUGGUGAAAGCCCACGGCUCAACCGUGGAGGGUCAUUGGAAACUGGGGGACUUGAGUGCAGAAGAGGAGAGUGGAAUUCCACGUGUAGCGGUGAAAUGCGUAGAGAUGUGGAGGAACACCAGUGGCGAAGGCGACUCUCUGGUCUGUAACUGACGCUGAGGCGCGAAAGCGUGGGGAGCAAACAGG